This 76-nucleotide transfer RNA is filed under the name Streptococcus pneumoniae. RNAcentral's name for it is "tRNA-Cys". It matches the Rfam family "tRNA". Rfam says of the family: Transfer RNA (tRNA) molecules are approximately 80 nucleotides in length. Lineage: Bacteria; Bacillati; Bacillota; Bacilli; Lactobacillales; Streptococcaceae. RNAcentral also lists the same sequence under 11 other names. The record is from RNAcentral.
AGGCGGUAUAGCCAAGUGGUAAGGCACGGCUCUGCAAAAGCUUGAUCGUCGGUUCAAAUCCGUCUACCGCCUUCUA